RNAcentral lists this small RNA (28 nucleotides) under Bombyx mori (domestic silkworm). Its description in RNAcentral is "ovarian small RNA-32788". The record is from RNAcentral. Lineage: Eukaryota; Metazoa; Arthropoda; Insecta; Lepidoptera; Bombycidae.
UGAUGACCUCGUCCAGGCUGAAGGCCUU